UUGAACGCUGGCGGCAUGCCUUACACAUGCAAGUCGAACGGUAACAGGUCUUCGGAUGCUGACGAGUGGCGAACGGGUGAGUAAUACAUCGGAACGUGCCCGAUCGUGGGGGAUAACGCAGCGAAAGCUGUGCUAAUACCGCAUACGAUCUACGGAUGAAAGCAGGGGACCGCAAGGCCUUGCGCGGACGGAGCGGCCGAUGGCAGAUUAGGUAGUUGGUGGGAUAAAAGCUUACCAAGCCGACGAUCUGUAGCUGGUCUGAGAGGACGACCAGCCACACUGGGACUGAGACACGGCCCAGACUCCUACGGGAGGCAGCAGUGGGGAAUUUUGGACAAUGGGGGCAACCCUGAUCCAGCCAUUCCGCGUGAGUGAAGAAGGCCUUCGGGUUGUAAAGCUCUUUCGGCAGGAACGAAACGGUGCGGGCCAAUACCCCGCAUCAAUGACGGUACCUGAAGAAGAAGCACCGGCUAACUACGU
RNAcentral lists this ribosomal RNA (480 nucleotides) under uncultured bacterium. RNAcentral describes it as "bacterial SSU rRNA". It matches the Rfam family "Bacterial small subunit ribosomal RNA", at positions 30 to 506 of the family's 1533-position model. The record is from RNAcentral.